RNAcentral lists this ribosomal RNA (495 nucleotides) under Botrytis cinerea. RNAcentral describes it as "eukaryotic LSU rRNA". The stretch from base 129 to 282 matches the Rfam family "5.8S ribosomal RNA". The record is from RNAcentral. Lineage: Eukaryota; Fungi; Ascomycota; Leotiomycetes; Helotiales; Sclerotiniaceae.
GCCCCCUUGCCCACCCUUGUGUAUUAUUACUUUGUUGCUUUGGCGAGCUGCCUUCGGGCCUUGUAUGCUCGCCAGAGAAUACCAAAACUCUUUUUAUUAAUGUCGUCUGAGUACUAUAUAAUAGUUAAAACUUUCAACAACGGAUCUCUUGGUUCUGGCAUCGAUGAAGAACGCAGCGAAAUGCGAUAAGUAAUGUGAAUUGCAGAAUUCAGUGAAUCAUCGAAUCUUUGAACGCACAUUGCGCCCCUUGGUAUUCCGGGGGGCAUGCCUGUUCGAGCGUCAUUUCAACCCUCAAGCUUAGCUUGGUAUUGAGUCUAUGUCAGUAAUGGCAGGCUCUAAAAUCAGUGGCGGCGCCGCUGGGUCCUGAACGUAGUAAUAUCUCUCGUUACAGGUUCUCGGUGUGCUUCUGCCAAAACCCAAAUUUUUCUAUGGUUGACCUCGGAUCAGGUAGGGAUACCCGCUGAACUUAAGCAUAUCAAUAAGCGGAGGAAGGAC